This 972-nucleotide ribosomal RNA is filed under the name Polauchenia schubarti. Its description in RNAcentral is "SSU rRNA". The record is from RNAcentral. Lineage: Eukaryota; Metazoa; Arthropoda; Insecta; Hemiptera; Reduviidae.
AACCGCAAAGGGCYUCAGUAAACCAGUUUUUUAAUUUUACUAGGAGUUUGUUACGUUUUCGUAACGUGGAAUACCCUGUGGUUAAUUCUUAGAGCUAAUACAUGCAACUAAGUCCCGGACCCAGAAAAUGGAAAAGGACGCUUUUUAUUUAGAUCAAAAAUUCAUUUCGCCCGGACUUGUUUUGGGCGUUGUUUUUGGUGAAUCUUAGAUUAACACACCCAGAUUCGUACAGUCUUUUGUACUGACGACAUCUCUUUCAAACGCCUGACUUAUCAGCUGUCGAUGGUAGACUCUGUGUCUACCAUGGCCCUCACGGGUAACGGGGAAUCAGGGUUCGAUUCCGGAGAGGGAGCCUGAGAAACGGCUACCACAUCCAAGGAAGGCAGCAGGCACGCAAAUUACCCACUCCCGGCACGGGGAGGUAGUGACAAAAAAUAACGAUACGGGACUCUAUUGAGGCCCCGUAAUCGGAAUGAGUACACUUUAAAUUCUUUAACAAGGAUCCAUUGGAGGGCAAGUCUGGUGCCAGCAGCCGCGGUAAUUCCAGCUCCAAUAGCGUAUAUUAAAGUUGUUGCGGUUAAAAAGCUCGUAGUUGGUUCUGCGUGCCGCGCUGUCGGUUCGCCGCCUGUCGGUGUAACUGGCAUGUCGCGGCAUGUCCUGUCGGUGGUGAACGAAGUCCGCCGGUACAUGCUGAAGCGUAAGCCGAAGUAUUGUGUCGUGCGAUUUCGUUUGCCGAUCUCUCCUACUCCGGUGCUCUUAAACGAGUGUCGAGGUAGGCCGACACGUUCACUUUGAACAAAUUAGAGUGCUUAAAGCAGGCUGAAAUAUCUGCCUGAAUAGUGGUGCAUGGAAUGAUAAAAUAGGACCUCGGUUCUAUUUUGUUGGUUUUAGGAAUAUGAGGUAAUGAUCAAAUGUGGACUGGCGGGGGCAUUCGUAUUGCGACGUUAGAGGUGAAAUUCUUGAUCUCCAACC